This 2362-nucleotide long non-coding RNA is filed under the name Homo sapiens (human). RNAcentral describes it as "non-protein coding lnc-FDX1-3:1". Lineage: Eukaryota; Metazoa; Chordata; Mammalia; Primates; Hominidae. The record is from RNAcentral.
AGCCUCGUCCCAGCCUGCGGCGCGCCUGGCGGGCGUCUCUCUAUAUAUGUUAGCACACCGGCCACCGGCUGACCUUUUCGGUCUGUGACUCCGCGUGGGUGCAGCCCGCAGGAGCUCAUCGGCCUGUGUCACGCACGGGGGCCUCUAGUGCACGGACACGCGCCUCUCCCGCCACCUGCCCACUCCCACCAGACCCCAUCCCUUCCCGCGCCGUGCCCGCGGCGGAAGGCGCCCCUGCAGCGCGUGCAUCCGCGGAGCGGUGGCGACCUCAGCCUGAGCAGAGGAGUUGCAGUGAUUCCUGCCUCGCUUUCAGCGGACUGCGGAGGGAAUCCCCCACCCCACCCCACUGGGGAUAGGGUGGCACGUCGCAGAGUGUCGCAGCUGUACAAAUUUGGAAGCCCACAGCAUCGCCUGACCUCUUGUGCAAUCCCGAACGCUAGCCUGUUCGGGUAACCCUGAGUGGGCUUCUGCAGCCGGUCAUGUCAGCGGCCCCUGCACAUUUGCACCCGCGGUUUCCGCUGUCUGCAGGCUGCAGAGACGGGGGCAUUCCAAACGUGAAAGAGCAAUGAAGGAAAAUGCAGACAGAGCGAGGACGCCGAAAUUUGGCUAAGCUAUUGAGAAGGCUACAAUAUGUGGAAGUGUUUAUCAGAUAUCUGCGCCGAGAGCAUAACUUCCUGUCAGCCCAAAUAGAGGCAAAAAUAUUUUAAAGGCCAAAGAAUAAUCAGAGGGAGAGGAUUUGGAGCUGACCCGCGUUGAGCUGAGUGUUGCUGCACUUUGCGGGGCUGGUUGACUGGUACGGAUGAUUCGGUAGAUGGCAUUCUUCCCUUGGAGUCAGGACUAGAGAAGCAGUGGCGGAUUAGUGAGGAAGGACACCACGCUAUGAUAUUAGGUUGUGGAAGGGGUUUGGUUUGCUUUUGUGGUAAGAAGAAAAAAAUCGAGGUUCCUGCCAGGUUAGGCUGUUAUUAGGACAGGUUGUAGAAGAAUAGGGCUCUGGCCGGCUCUGUUCCAAGGAAGGGAUGCUGUCCAACACACACUCGCGCGCGCACACAUCACCACCAUGCCCAGGAAUGGUUUAUUGUGGAAAUAAUAGGGGGAAAAUGUUCCAGCCCGUUUUAAGCCUUGUCCACCUCACACUGUUUAAAGUAGGCUUACAUAGGCUUUAUAAAUCACACACACGUAUAAAUCACACACACGUAUAAAUCACAUGUAUGAUUUGUAAAUCAUCUAUUAUUGUGUUUAUGUAUGUGUGCAUAUACACACACAGUUUUUCAUGGCUACUCUCUUUUUGCAGCUGAGACCCAUGUGCAGCGACAGGACUUUGCCCCCACCAUAGAGUUUGUCAUGAAUUCUACACGCAGAGGGCUUUGCAGUUCCUUUCAUUCCUUGCUGAAAUCAUCCACUUACAACUCGUUAGCCUCUUUUGGUUCCUAUCAUAAAUGCACGCUCCCAAUUUUCCUUACUCUGUUUUAUUUCGAUAACACUUAUCUCCUUCUAAUAUAUCAUGUAAUUUACUUAGUAUGUUUAGUGUUUAUUAUCUAUAUCUCAGAGAAAUGCAAGCUUCCAGAGGGCAGGAAUCUUUUGUGGGCUUUUGUUGUUGUUGUUGUUAUUGUUGUUCUUUGUCGUAUACCAAGUGCUUGAAGCAGUGUCUGGUGCAAUAAAUGUUCGUUUGCUAAGGGAAUUAAUGAGGCAUACAAGGGUUAUGAGAUAGAUCUUAGAAGGGCCAGACUGGUAGAGUUGGUUGUUUCACUCAGAGUGUCCCAUGUUUCUGUUUGUGAUCUUCUUUUUUGCACAGGUUUGAUCUGUGAUCAAUACUACAUGUUCCAAAUCAAAGUAGUAUUUUACUGCAGAUUUGGAAAACUCACUCUUACUUCUUAAUUUUUAAGUGCUUUUACUUCAAAACCCAUUAGUUUUGGUUUGCAUAGAAAACUGUCCCAUACCUAAAGAAAACUGACUUUGCUCAGAUUAAUGCUAUCACCAGAAUCGUGUUUUAAGAACACAAAUUUGAUCACAUCACUCCCCUGAUUAAACCCUUCUUUGGCUCCUUGUGUUUACAGAAUAAAUUUCAAAUGCCAUAGUAUGAUAUGCAAGACUGCCUAUAAACAGACAUCCUUGCCUCCACUUAUUUCUCUUGUCAUUUAUUGCUCCUCUUCAACUCUCACCCUAUUCCCUGUCACAUUGAAUUCGCCAAGAAGUCACCUUCCAAGAACUCGCCUUGCCUUCUCACAUCUUUGUGACUUUGAACCUGCUGUUUGCAUUGCGUGGGAAGUUUUCCUUCUAUAUUUCCAACCCCUAUUACUUUACACUUAAAUAUCUAAUACUUGGUGCAUAGUAAAUGCCCAGUAAAUAUUUGUUGAGGAAAUAA